This 301-nucleotide long non-coding RNA is filed under the name Carica papaya (papaya). RNAcentral describes it as "long non-coding RNA (CPAP_LNC011537)". The record is from RNAcentral. Lineage: Eukaryota; Viridiplantae; Streptophyta; Magnoliopsida; Brassicales; Caricaceae.
AAAUGGUGCUUCAAAUCCCGAUACAUUUUUGUACUUUCUGGAUGAAUAGCCAACUUAGAUGCAUGAGCUUUCUUUAAAACAUCCAAUCAGAGUUUUGGGUCACCAGACACCCACAAUCGAUUUCGAAACCAAAGGGUCGCACCAUUAGACCUUCCAAAAGUCAUACAAUUCCUCUGACUCCAACUUAUCUUUUAACUUUACUGUCUCAGAAUCCAUAGAUUGGGCUUUAUUGAUUUUCUAGAUAAGAGUGGGCUGGAUCCGAAUUUAGGCAAGAUAGGUGCCCUCACCAUAAUGGUUUAGU